Mastomys coucha (southern multimammate mouse) is the source of this 135-nucleotide small nucleolar RNA. RefSeq annotates it as small nucleolar RNA SNORA17. The record is from RefSeq and is a predicted model, not a curated record. The transcript has a single exon. Lineage: Eukaryota; Metazoa; Chordata; Mammalia; Rodentia; Muridae.
CCUGCCCCUAGAGGAAUUGUAGGUGUGUCUGCUGUGUCACAUGUGCAUCAGUAGGUGGCAGAGAAGAGAGGCUAUGUCUCUUCUUCAAUCAGUGUUCUGACCUGUGAACAUCUGAAUGAUGAGUAGCCUAACACU